GGGCCCGUAGCUCAGCAGGAUAGAGCAUGGGACUUCUAAUCCCAGGGUCGGGGGUUCGAAUCCCUCCGGGCUCACCA
This 77-nucleotide transfer RNA is filed under the name Dictyoglomota bacterium. Its description in RNAcentral is "Dictyoglomi bacterium (hydrothermal vent metagenome) tRNA-Arg". It matches the Rfam family "tRNA". From Rfam's summary of the family: Transfer RNA (tRNA) molecules are approximately 80 nucleotides in length. Their secondary structure includes four short double-helical elements and three loops (D, anti-codon, and T loops). Further hydrogen bonds mediate the characteristic L-shaped molecular structure. tRNAs have two regions of fundamental functional importance: the anti-codon, which is responsible for specific mRNA codon recognition, and the 3' end, to which the tRNAs corresponding amino acid is attached (by aminoacyl-tRNA synthetases). tRNAs cope with the degeneracy of the genetic code in two manners: having more than one tRNA (with a specific anti-codon) for a particular amino acid; and 'wobble' base-pairing, i.e. permitting non-standard base-pairing at the 3rd anti-codon position. RNAcentral also lists the same sequence under 1 other name. Lineage: Bacteria; Pseudomonadati; Dictyoglomota. The record is from RNAcentral.